CUUUACUAUAGCCUGGAAUUGGGUUCGGGCCUUUCUUGCGCAGCCUAGGUGGGAGGCUAUGAAGAUUUCCUUCCGGGGAAGUUGGAGCCAUCAGUGAGAGACCACUCUGGAGAGGCUAGAAUCCUAAUGGUGAUCCUUGAAUCAGGACGCUUGACAGUUUCAGGUGGGCAGUUUUUCUGGGGCGGAAGCCUCAUAAAGGGUAACUGAGGCGCGCAAAGGUCCCCUCAGUCUGGACGGAAAUCAGACAACGAGUGUAAAGGCAAAAGGGGGCUUGACUGCAAGACCUACAAGUCGAGCAGGAGCGAAAGCUGGCCUUAGUGAUCCGACGGUACCGUGUGGAAGGGCCGUCGCUCAACGAAUAAAAGUUA
Molecule: ribosomal RNA, 368 nt
Filed under: uncultured organism
Description: bacterial LSU rRNA
Rfam family: Bacterial large subunit ribosomal RNA
Source: RNAcentral